UGGGGAAUUUUGGACAAUGGGGGAAACCCUGAUCCAGCCAUGCCGCGUGCGGGAAGAAGGCCUUCGGGUUGUAAACCGCUUUUGGCAGGAACGAAACGGCGCGGGCCAAUACCUCGCGCUAAUGACGGUACCUGCAGAAUAAGCACCGGCUAACUACGUGCCAGCAGCCGCGGUAAUACGUAGGGUGCAAGCGUUAAUCGGAAUUACUGGGCGUAAAGCGUACGCAGGCGGCUGUGCAAGACAGGUGUGAAAUCCCCGGGCCCAACCUGGGAACUGCAUUUGUGACUGCACGGCUAGAGUCCGUAAGAGGGGGGUGGAAUUCCACGUGUAGCAGUGAAAUGCGUAGAGAUGUGGAGGAACACCGAUGGCGAAGGCAGCCCCCUGGGAUGAGACUGACGCUCAUGUACGAAAGCGUGGGGAGCAAAACAGGAUUAGAUACCCUGGUAGUCCACGCCCUAAACGAUGUCGACUAGUUGUCGGGUCUUUACAGACUUGGUAACGCAGCUAAC
Molecule: ribosomal RNA, 509 nt
Filed under: uncultured Pseudomonadota bacterium
Lineage: Bacteria; Pseudomonadati; Pseudomonadota
Description: bacterial SSU rRNA
Rfam family: Bacterial small subunit ribosomal RNA
Source: RNAcentral